RNAcentral lists this ribosomal RNA (254 nucleotides) under uncultured bacterium. RNAcentral's name for it is "partial 16S ribosomal RNA". It matches the Rfam family "Bacterial small subunit ribosomal RNA", at positions 524 to 776 of the family's 1533-position model. The record is from RNAcentral.
UACAGAGGGGCAAGCGUUGUUCGGAAUUACUGGGCGUAAAGGGCGCGUAGGCGGCCACAACAAGUCACUUGUGAAAUCUCCGGGCUUAACCCGGUAGCGGCCAAGUGAUACUGUUGGGCUAGAGUGCGGAAGGGGCAACUGGAAUUCUCGGUGUAGCGGUGAAAUGCGUAGAUAUCGAGAGGAACACCUGCGGCGAAGGCGGGUUGCUGGGCCGACACUGACGCUGAGGCGCGAAAGCUAGGGGAGCGAACGGG